RNAcentral lists this ribosomal RNA (405 nucleotides) under uncultured bacterium. RNAcentral's name for it is "partial 16S ribosomal RNA". It matches the Rfam family "Bacterial small subunit ribosomal RNA", at positions 28 to 526 of the family's 1533-position model. The record is from RNAcentral.
GAUGAACGCUGGCGGCGUGCCUAACACAUGCAAGUCGAGCGAAGCGGGGAGGGGUGAGUAAAACGUCUAUAACCUCCUAUAAGACUGGGAUAAAUUCGGGAAACCGGAGCCAAACCCGAUACUUAUAGCUGGUUCCGAGUGGCAUUAGCUAGUGGGUAAGGUAACGGCUUACCAAGGCAAUGAUGCAUAGGCGACCUGAAAGGAGGAUCAGCCAAACUGGAACUGAGACACGGUCCAGACUCCUACGGGAGGCAGCAGUGGGGAAUAUUCCACAAUGGGCGAAAGCCUGACGGAGCAAUGCCGCGUGAGUGAAGAAGGUCUUCGGAUCGUAAAGCUCUGUUAGUAGGGAAGCGGUACCUAAUCAGAAAGCAACGGCUAACUACGUGCCAGCAGCCGCGGUAAUAC